RNAcentral lists this transfer RNA (68 nucleotides) under Pedicia sp. ZK-2016. RNAcentral describes it as "tRNA-Trp". The record is from RNAcentral. Lineage: Eukaryota; Metazoa; Arthropoda; Insecta; Diptera; Pediciidae.
AAGGCUUUAAGUUAAUCAAACUAAUAGCCUUCAAAGCUAUCAAUAUAAGAACUAUCUUUUAAGCCUUA